CAAUAGCGUAUAUUAAAGUUGUUGCAGUUAAAAAGCUCGUAGUUGGAUUUGUGGCGUACGGUGUGUUCCGGGCACUUGUUGUCUGAGUAACCUGCUGUUGCCAUCCUUGGGUGGAACCUGUGUGGCAUUAGGUUGUCGUGCAGGGGAUGCCCAUCAUUUACUGUGAAAAAAUUAGAGUGUUCAAAGCAGGCUUAUGCCGUUGAGUAUAUUAGCAUGGAAUAAUGAGAUAGGACUUUUUUGCUAUUUUGUUGGUUUGCGCAAAGAGGUAAUGAUUAAUAGGGACAGUUGGGGGUAUUCGUAUUCCAUUGUCAGAGGUGAAAUUCUUGGAUUUUUGGAAGACGAACUACUGCGAAAGCAUUUACCAAGGAUGUUUUCAUUAU
This 380-nucleotide ribosomal RNA is filed under the name uncultured eukaryote. Its description in RNAcentral is "partial 18S ribosomal RNA". It matches the Rfam family "Eukaryotic small subunit ribosomal RNA", at positions 592 to 976 of the family's 1831-position model. The record is from RNAcentral.